RNAcentral lists this transfer RNA (72 nucleotides) under Actinomycetota bacterium. Its description in RNAcentral is "tRNA-Gln". It matches the Rfam family "tRNA". From Rfam's summary of the family: Transfer RNA (tRNA) molecules are approximately 80 nucleotides in length. Their secondary structure includes four short double-helical elements and three loops (D, anti-codon, and T loops). Further hydrogen bonds mediate the characteristic L-shaped molecular structure. tRNAs have two regions of fundamental functional importance: the anti-codon, which is responsible for specific mRNA codon recognition, and the 3' end, to which the tRNAs corresponding amino acid is attached (by aminoacyl-tRNA synthetases). tRNAs cope with the degeneracy of the genetic code in two manners: having more than one tRNA (with a specific anti-codon) for a particular amino acid; and 'wobble' base-pairing, i.e. permitting non-standard base-pairing at the 3rd anti-codon position. Lineage: Bacteria; Bacillati; Actinomycetota. The record is from RNAcentral.
UCGGGGGUGGUGUAACUGGCAACACGACUGGUUCUGGUCCAGUUAUUGAGGGUUCGAUUCCUUCCCCCCGAG